GGCUGGUCCGAUGGUAGUGGGUUAUCAGAACUUAUUAACAUUAGUGUCACUAAAGUUGGUAUACAACCCCCCACUGCUAAAUUUGACUGGCUAAAA
RNAcentral lists this Y RNA (96 nucleotides) under Cebus imitator (Panamanian white-faced capuchin). RNAcentral describes it as "Y RNA (ENSCCAG00000007796.1)". It matches the Rfam family "Y RNA". From Rfam's summary of the family: Y RNAs are components of the Ro ribonucleoprotein particle (Ro RNP), in association with Ro60 and La proteins. Lineage: Eukaryota; Metazoa; Chordata; Mammalia; Primates; Cebidae. The record is from RNAcentral.